AUGGACUAGAUCAGCACUCGAAAACAAUGUCCACAAACCUUUGGCUUCCUGUGAUUUUUCUUCCUAAAAACUAAAAGCCAACUAAGGGUCUAUUCGUUAAUCCCAAUCCAUAUGGAUUGGAGGGGAUUGAGUGGGUUCAAAUCACCAGCUAGUUAAAAACUUUCUUAAUUUUUUCAAUCCACUACAAUCCAUAUGGGAUGAGAAUAAGCGAACAAGAGCCUAAGAAAUACCCAUUCCAUUUGCUUCUGGGGAAAAAAAUUUGGGAAUAUUUUAUUUGUCACAACAGGACUUCAAAUUGCUAUCUGUUAUCCUCGUUGCACAAAGAGAUUACUAAUCCAAGAGACUAAUAGUUUGUAGGUUUGGCGUAUCACUUGACUGAGCCAACUUGCCACAAUGUCCCUUAUUCUUCGAUCAGCUUCACGCGGCAUGCUACAAUUAGCAGUUGCUUCAGUAUUUACAACUUAUAAACAGUAGUGUAUAUAAAUCAAUCCAGAGUUCUUU
Long non-coding RNA from Zea mays, 501 nucleotides. RefSeq lists it as uncharacterized. The record is from RefSeq and is a predicted model, not a curated record. NCBI's taxonomy places the organism in Eukaryota, Viridiplantae, Streptophyta, Magnoliopsida, Poales, Poaceae. The transcript is spliced from 2 exons.